Molecule: ribosomal RNA, 482 nt
Filed under: uncultured bacterium
Lineage: Bacteria
Description: partial 16S ribosomal RNA
Rfam family: Bacterial small subunit ribosomal RNA
Source: RNAcentral
AUUGAACGCUGGCGGCAUGCCUUACACAUGCAAGUCGAACGGUAACGGGCCUUCGGUUGCCGACGAGUGUCGAACGGGUGAGUAAUACAUCCGAACGUGCCCGCUCGUUGGGGGUAACGAGGCGAAAGCUUUGCUAAUACCGCAUACGAUCUACGGUUGAAAACAGCGGACCGCAAGGCCUUGCGCGGGCGGAGCGGCCGAUGGCAGAUUAGGUAGUUGGUGGGAUAAAAGCUUACCAAGCCGACGAUCUGUAGCUGGUCUGAGAGGAUGAUCAGCCACACUGGGACUGAGACACGGCCCAGACUCCUACGGGAGGCAGCAGUGGGGAAUUUUGGACAAUGGGCGCAAGCCUGACCCAGCCAUGCCGCGUGCAGGAUGAAGGCCUUCGGGUUGUAAACUGCUUUUGUACGGAACGAAAAGCCUUCUUUUAAUACAGGAGGGUCAUGACGGUACCGGAAGAAUAAGCACCGGCUAACUACGUG